Molecule: long non-coding RNA, 214 nt
Filed under: Carica papaya (papaya)
Lineage: Eukaryota; Viridiplantae; Streptophyta; Magnoliopsida; Brassicales; Caricaceae
Description: long non-coding RNA (CPAP_LNC007807)
Source: RNAcentral
GUGGCUCAACCUGUGGCAGCGGGGGAGAGUCAGGUAGCUCCCUCUUUUCCUCCCAAACCUGCUGGGCAAUAAUGAGUCUCUCUACCAUAUCAAAUAACCGGUCAACAUCCUCUCUAAGAGAACCCUCUCGGGCUGCUCGGUUUAGUGGCGGUCUUUCUCUCCUCAUCUAUCUAUACAUGCAUUUCACAAGGAAUGAUUGAGUGACAAUUCAUUG